GACGUAGGGGGCGAGCGUUGUCCGGAAUUACUGGGCGUAAAGAGCACGUAGGCGGGAAGUUAAGUCCGUUGUGAAAGACCGAGGCUCAACCUCGGGGUUGCAGCGGAAACUGAUUUUCUUGAGGGCAGGAGAGGGAAGCGGAAUUCCUGGUGUAGCGGUGAAAUGCGUAGAAAUCAGGAGGAACACCGGUGGCGAAGGCGGCUUUCUGGACUGACCCUGACGCUGAGGUGCGAAAGCGUGGGUAGCAAAC
Molecule: ribosomal RNA, 250 nt
Filed under: uncultured prokaryote
Description: partial 16S ribosomal RNA
Rfam family: Bacterial small subunit ribosomal RNA
Source: RNAcentral